AACGCGAAGAACCUUACCAGGGUUUGACAUGCCUCUGACAUCCUCAGAGAUGAGGCUCCCUUCGGGGCAGAGGCACAGGUGCUGCAUGGCUGUCGUCAGCUCGUGUCGUGAGAUGUUGGGUUAAGUCCCGCAACGAGCGCAACCCUCGUCCUAUGUUGCCAGCGGGUAAUGCCGGGGACUCAUAGGAGACUGCCGGGGUCAACUCGGAGGAAGGUGGGGAUGACGUCAAGUCCUCAUGCCCCUUAUGUCUUGGGCUGCAAACAUGCUACAAUGGCCAGUACAAAGGGUUGCGAGACCGCAAGGUGGAGCGAAUCCCAAAAAGCUGGUCUCAGUUCGGAUUGGGGUCUGCAACUCGACCCCAUGAAGUCGGAGUCGCUAGUAAUCGCAGAUCAGCAACGCUGCGGUGAAUACGUUCCCGGGCCUUGUACACACCGGUACUA
Molecule: ribosomal RNA, 440 nt
Filed under: uncultured bacterium
Lineage: Bacteria
Description: bacterial SSU rRNA
Rfam family: Bacterial small subunit ribosomal RNA
Source: RNAcentral